This 253-nucleotide ribosomal RNA is filed under the name uncultured bacterium. RNAcentral describes it as "partial 16S ribosomal RNA". It matches the Rfam family "Bacterial small subunit ribosomal RNA", at positions 524 to 776 of the family's 1533-position model. The record is from RNAcentral.
UACGGAGGGGGCGAGCGUUGUCCGAAGUUACUGGGCGUAAAGCGCGCGUAGGCGGGUGGGUAAGUCCGCUGUGAAAGCCCGGAGCUCAACUCCGGAACUGCCAUUGAAACUGUAAGACUUGAGGAUGAGAGAGGUGAGUGGAAUUCCCAGUGUAGAGGUGAAAUUCGUAGAUAUUGGGAAGAACACCGGUGGCGAAGGCGGCUCACUGGCUCAUAUCUGACGCUCAGGCGCGACAGCGUGGGGAGCAAACAGG